CAAGCAAGCUGGACAGCCGCGCGGCGGGGGCGAAAGGCCCCGCUGUGAGGAAAGUCCGGGCUCCACAGGGCAAGGAUAACGGGUAACACCCGCCGGGGGCGACCCUAGGAAAAGUGCAACAGAGAUAUACCGCCUCACAUCUGUGGGGUAAGGGUGGAAAGGCGAGGUAAGAGCUCACCCGACGGCGUGGAAGCGUCCGUCGCUGUAAACUCUAUCCGGAGCAACGCCGUGGAGGGACAUGUGGUCGGCCCGACCGUCCCGCGGAGGCGGCUGGAGCGUGCCGGCAACGGUACGUCGAGAUAGAUGGCUGUCUUAAAGGACAGAACCCGGCUUACAGGCUUACUUGCACC
Molecule: RNase P RNA, 350 nt
Filed under: Flavonifractor sp. An92
Lineage: Bacteria; Bacillati; Bacillota; Clostridia; Eubacteriales; Oscillospiraceae
Description: RNase P RNA component class A
Rfam family: Bacterial RNase P class A
About the family: Ribonuclease P (RNase P) is a ubiquitous endoribonuclease, found in archaea, bacteria and eukarya as well as chloroplasts and mitochondria.
Source: RNAcentral